GAUGAACGCUGGCGGCGUGCCUAAUACAUGCAAGUCGAGCGAACAGACGAGGAGCUUGCUCCUCUGACGUUAGCGGCGGACGGGUGAGUAACACGUGGAUAACCUACCUAUAAGACUGGGAUAACUUCGGGAAACCGGAGCUAAUACCGGAUAAUAUAUUGAACCGCAUGGUUCAAUAGUGAAAGACGGUUUUGCUGUCACUUAUAGAUGGAUCCGCGCCGCAUUAGCUAGUUGGUAAGGUAACGGCUUACCAAGGCAACGAUGCGUAGCCGACCUGAGAGGGUGAUCGGCCACACUGGAACUGAGACACGGUCCAGACUCCUACGGGAGGCAGUAGUAAGGAAUCUUCCGCAAUGGGCGAAAGCCUGACGGAGCAACGCCGCGUGAGUGAUGAAGGUCUUCGGAUCGUAAAACUCUGUUAUUAGGGAAGAACAAAUGUGUAAGUAACUAUGCACGUCUUGACGGUACCUAAUCAGAAAGCCACGGCUAACUACGUG
This 497-nucleotide ribosomal RNA is filed under the name uncultured bacterium. RNAcentral describes it as "partial 16S ribosomal RNA". It matches the Rfam family "Bacterial small subunit ribosomal RNA", at positions 28 to 507 of the family's 1533-position model. The record is from RNAcentral.